AUACGGAUUCUUAACGUCGMAAGACGAAAAAUGAAUACCAAGUCUCAAGAGUGAACACGUAAUUCAUUACGAAGUUUAAUUCUUUGAGCAUCAAACUUUUAAAUUGAAGAGUUUGAUCAUGGCUCAGAUUGAACGCUGGCGGCAACGUCGCAAGACCAAAGAGGGGGACCUUCGGGCCUCUUGCCAUCGGAUGUGCCCAGAUGGGAUUAGCUAGUAGGUGGGGUAACGGCUCACCUAGGCGACGAUCCCUAGCUGGUCUGAGAGGAUGACCAGCCACACUGGAACUGAGACACGGUCCAGACUCCUACGGGAGGCAGCAGUGGGGAAUAUUGCACAAUGGGCGCAAGCCUGAUGCAGCCAUGCCGCGUGUAUGAAGAAGGCCUUCGGGUUGUAAAGUACUUUCAGCGGGGAGGAAGGGAGUAAAGUUAAUACCUUUGCUCAUUGACGUUACCCGCAGAAGAAGCACCGGCUAACUCCGUGCCAGCAGCCGCGGUAAUACGGAGGGUGCAAGCGUUAAUCGGAAUUACUGGGCGUAAAGCGCACGCAGGCGGUUUGUUAAGUCAGAUGUGAAAUCCCCGGGCUCAACCUGGGAACUGCAUCUGAUACUGGCAAGCUUGAGUCUCGUAGAGGGGGGUAGAAUUCCAGGUGUAGCGGUGAAAUGCGUAGAGAUCUGGAGGAAUACCGGUGGCGAAGGCGGCCCCCUGGACGAAGACUGACGCUCAGGUGCGAAAGCGUGGGGAGCAAACAGGAUUAGAUACCCUGGUAGUCCACGCCGUAAACGAUGUCGACUUGGAGGUUGUGCCCUUGAGGCGUGGCUUCCGGAGCUAACGCGUUAAGUCGACCGCCUGGGGAGUACGGCCGCAAGGUUAAAACUCAAAUGAAUUGACGGGGGCCCGCACAAGCGGUGGAGCAUGUGGUUUAAUUCGAUGCAACGCGAAGAACCUUACCUGGUCUUGACAUCCACGGAAGUUUUCAGAGAUGAGAAUGUGCCUUCGGGAACCGUGAGACAGGUGCUGCAUGGCUGUCGUCAGCUCGUGUUGUGAAAUGUUGGGUUAAGUCCCGCAACGAGCGCAACCCUUAUCCUUUGUUGCCAGCGGUCCGGCCGGGAACUCAAAGGAGACUGCCAGUGAUAAACUGGAGGAAGGUGGGGAUGACGUCAAGUCAUCAUGGCCCUUACGACCAGGGCUACACACGUGCUACAAUGGCGCAUACAAAGAGAAGCGACCUCGCGAGAGCAAGCGGACCUCAUAAAGUGCGUCGUAGUCCGGAUUGGAGUCUGCAACUCGACUCCAUGAAGUCGGAAUCGCUAGUAAUCGUGGAUCAGAAUGCCACGGUGAAUACGUUCCCGGGCCUUGUACACACCGCCCGUCACACCAUGGGAGUGGGUUGCAAAAGAAGUAGGUAGCUUAACCUUCGGGAGGGCGCUUACCACUUUGUGAUUCAUGACUGGGGUGAAGUCGUAACAAGGUAACCGUAGGGGAACCUGCGGUUG
Molecule: ribosomal RNA, 1492 nt
Filed under: Escherichia coli
Lineage: Bacteria; Pseudomonadati; Pseudomonadota; Gammaproteobacteria; Enterobacterales; Enterobacteriaceae
Description: bacterial SSU rRNA
Source: RNAcentral